CCAAAAUAAAUAAUGGAACUCUAAAAAUUAGUUACACUAAUAUCAAGCUGCAUCAAAACAAAUAAAAGAAAUGAGUGAAUUUAACUUUCAGGUUUUGAGUUACAUCAAAACAAACAACAAAAACAUAAUUGCACUUCAGGAAAACUCAAACACCACUGCACUGGAGUUACGUUGGAUCUAGAGAUUCAUCAAACCAAAGCCCCCUAAAUUCAUAUCUUUUCUUUGAACUAACAUGGCAACUCUUGUUACAUUUUCAGUCCAAAGAAUAUCACACUCGAUGCCCAUCUAUUUAAUAGAAAAUAUUUUUCAAC
RNAcentral lists this long non-coding RNA (311 nucleotides) under Ananas comosus (pineapple). RNAcentral describes it as "long non-coding RNA (ACOM_LNC040238)". The record is from RNAcentral. Lineage: Eukaryota; Viridiplantae; Streptophyta; Magnoliopsida; Poales; Bromeliaceae.